UAUAAAAUAGUUCGGCGAGCUCUGCUCGUGUUUGACGAUAUUGUGAAGAAAUAGGUUAACCAACAAGUUUCGUCGGGACAACGGUGCUUCGAACUACGUUUGCGGAUCUAGAUAAAGUAGAACCCGUUCUCAGCGUGUUCGAUAAGCUGAUCGGCCCGAAUCGUGGACGCCAUAAGACGACCUUUUUUUUUUAAAAUAAGCUACUGUAUACGAAGACACGAAGUGGCAUGAAUAUUUAUUUUUUCUCAAAAAAAAAGAAAAUAAAAGAAAAAUUAGAUAUGCUAUUGAAA
Molecule: non-coding RNA, 290 nt
Organism: Megalopta genalis
Lineage: Eukaryota; Metazoa; Arthropoda; Insecta; Hymenoptera; Halictidae
Source: RefSeq, a predicted model, not a curated record